This 484-nucleotide ribosomal RNA is filed under the name uncultured bacterium. RNAcentral's name for it is "partial 16S ribosomal RNA". It matches the Rfam family "Bacterial small subunit ribosomal RNA", at positions 30 to 507 of the family's 1533-position model. The record is from RNAcentral.
AUUGAACGCUGGCGGCAGGCCUAACACAUGCAAGUCGAGCGGAUGAAGGGAGCUUGCUCCUGGAUUCAGCGGCGGACGGGUGAGUAAUGCCUAGGAAUCUGCCUGGUAGUGGGGGAUAACGUCCGGAAACGGGCGCUAAUACCGCAUACGUCCUGAGGGAGAAAGUGGGGGAUCUUCGGACCUCACGCUAUCAGAUGAGCCUAGGUCGGAUUAGCUAGUUGGUGUGGUAAAGGCCUACCAAGGCGACGAUCCGUAACUGGUCUGAGAGGAUGAUCAGUCACACUGGAACUGAGACACGGUCCAGACUCCUACGGGAGGCAGCAGUGGGGAAUAUUGGACAAUGGGCGAAAGCCUGAUCCAGCAAUGCCGCGUGUGUGAAGAAGGUCUUCGGAUUGUAAAGCACUUUAAGUUGGGAGGAAGGGCAGUAAGUUAAUACCUUGCUGUUUUGACGUUACCAACAGAAUAAGCACCGGCUAACUUCGUG